RNAcentral lists this non-coding RNA (31 nucleotides) under Rattus norvegicus (Norway rat). The record is from RNAcentral. Lineage: Eukaryota; Metazoa; Chordata; Mammalia; Rodentia; Muridae.
UGGGAUUAAAGGUGUACACCACCACUGCCCA